Molecule: long non-coding RNA, 489 nt
Filed under: Bos taurus (domestic cattle)
Lineage: Eukaryota; Metazoa; Chordata; Mammalia; Artiodactyla; Bovidae
Description: long non-coding RNA NONBTAT015162
Source: RNAcentral
AUUUUCUUCUCUUUGGAUGAUAUAAACUAAGAAGAAGGUAAACUGCUCGUGGAACUUUUAUUUGGAACAAUGCCAAUUGUUUUGUGGAGUAUUAGCCCAAGGACCAUAGAAUACUGAGGACACACAGGGAUCAUCCAGUAAAGCACAGACUCUGGGAAGCUCCUGGCAAACAACCUGGGGCCUCAACAAAUAAGUUGGGAUACUUAGUUUUCCUUUCCUUGUGAGCAGUGUGGACAAAGUAAAUGGCUUGGCUCUGACAUGGAAACUUGCUGUUAGUGUCACGAUAUUUCCAAUGGUCAAUUUAAAAAUCUAAACUAAAACUCCUUUAGAGAAGAAUAUAAGACAGUAAUGAUCAGUAUGAUUCAUCAGUCAAGAAACAAUUUUUAAAUCCCUGCCAUUUUUACAAGGCACCAUGCCAUGCCCUGUGAGGGACAUGAAGACCAACAGAAGUCGGCCUCUGUGUCUGAAAACUUACAAUCGAGCAAGCUU